UACGGGAGGCAGCAGUAGGGAAUCUUCCGCAAUGGACGAAAGUCUGACGGAGCAACGCCGCGUGAGUGAUGAAGGCUUUCGGGUCGUAAAACUCUGUUGUUAGGGAAGAACAAGUGCUAGUUGAAUAAGCUGGCACCUUGACGGUACCUAACCAGAAAGCCACGGCUAACUACGUGCCAGCAGCCGCGGUAAUACGUAGGUGGCAAGCGUUAUCCGGAAUUAUUGGGCGUAAAGCGCGCGCAGGUGGUUUCUUAAGUCUGAUGUGAAAGCCCACGGCUCAACCGUGGAGGGUCAUUGGAAACUGGGAGACUUGAGUGCAGAAGAGGAAAGUGGAAUUCCAUGUGUAGCGGUGAAAUGCGUAGAGAUAUGGAGGAACACCAGUGGCGAAGGCGACUUUCUGGUCUGUAACUGACACUGAGGCGCGAAAGCGUGGGGAGCAAACAGGAUUAGAUACCCUGGUAGUCCACGCCGUAAACGAUGAGUGCUAAGUGUUUAGAGGGUUUCCGCCCUUUAGUGCUGAAGUUAACGCAUUAAGCACU
RNAcentral lists this ribosomal RNA (539 nucleotides) under Bacillus mycoides. RNAcentral's name for it is "bacterial SSU rRNA". It matches the Rfam family "Bacterial small subunit ribosomal RNA", at positions 340 to 868 of the family's 1533-position model. Lineage: Bacteria; Bacillati; Bacillota; Bacilli; Caryophanales; Bacillaceae. The record is from RNAcentral.